RNAcentral lists this ribosomal RNA (502 nucleotides) under uncultured bacterium. RNAcentral's name for it is "bacterial SSU rRNA". It matches the Rfam family "Bacterial small subunit ribosomal RNA", at positions 28 to 523 of the family's 1533-position model. The record is from RNAcentral.
GACGAACGCUGGCGGCGUGGAUUAGGCAUGCAAGUCGAACGGUAUCAUCCUUUCGGGGGUGAGAGAGUGGCGAACUGGUGAGUAACACGUAGGUUAUCUACCCUCAAGACGGGGACAACCCAGGGAAACUUGGGCUAAUACCGGAUGUGAGCAACUUUUAGUUGUUUGAAAGGUGGCGUAAGCUGUCGCUUGGGGAUGAGCCUGCGUCCUAUUAGUUAGUUGGUGAGGUAACGGCUCACCUAGGCAAUGAUAGGUAGGCGGCCUUAACGGGUGGUCGCCCACACUGGGAUUGAGAUACGGCCCAGACUCCUACGGGAGGCAGCAGUCGAGAAUAGUCUACAAUGGUCGGAAGACUGAUAGUGCGACGCCGCGUGAACGAUGAAUCCCUUCGGGGUGUAAAGUUCUUUUAUAUGUGAGCAGUGCUUCUUAUAUUAACAGUAUGGGGAGAGAGAUAUUAGCAUAUGAAUAAGCAAGGCUAACUCCGUGCCAGCAGCCGCGGUAA